Long non-coding RNA from Coffea arabica (coffee), 1316 nucleotides. RefSeq lists it as uncharacterized. NCBI's taxonomy places the organism in Eukaryota, Viridiplantae, Streptophyta, Magnoliopsida, Gentianales, Rubiaceae. The record is from RefSeq and is a predicted model, not a curated record.
GCCUCAUGCUGAUUGUGUAGUACACAUCCAAAUGGCAUACAAAUGGCUACAUUAUACUAACGACCCCUGAUAAGCUGUGACAGACCAAUCUCAAUUCUAAGGGAGUAGGGCAAUCAUUGAAGAACAUAAUUGGAACAAUGAAUGGGCUCGUCCUUUAGAGACUGCAAAGAAGCUUCGCUAGUCCUUUUUCAGCCGUUGGCAUCUCGCGAAAGUGAAAUCCAUCCGGGAAUGCAGGUGUUGUACGUGUUUUUUGUCUUUGUAUUUGCAUCGCCAGGGGGCUAAAAUCAGUAAUGGCCUUAUCCUUUACUAGUUGGAUGGAUUUUAUCCGUAAGAGCUCGUGGGUGGCCAGAAUGGCUGCGGGACCAGAGUAUCGUUGUCUGUACACGUGAUUAUAAGGAUGUAGACGUUCAAGUCUCAGAGUCAAGAACAUGAUACAAUGAAUUACUUUGGUUCUACGAAUGCAGAAGGCAAAAGAAGAAGGAAAAAAUCAUGAAAGAAUUGUACAUAAUUUCUGGUUUGGCAUAGAGGUUUGGCUGUUACAAAUAGAUAAUUAGAAGUAAUUAAUAGAAGGUUGAGAUGAUAUUUGGGAGGAGGAGUAGUUAGCGAUUGGAUGGAUUGUUCUUUAGAAAUCAAAGGGAACGUAAAGGAACGCUGCUACGUACAAGUGAAAACGAAUCCAAAGCAACGUAGCAUCAUGGAUGCUGGAUGCAUUUGAACAUCAAAUCAGGUCCUUUUCCGGACAGAAAAUAUCUAUCGUAUCAAAUGAAAUCUAGCAUACUCUCACUUUUCCUGCUCGCCUCUAUUCAAGCGUCGAAACAACUAACGUUCGUCUGCACAAAAUAGGGGAAAAGUCUUCAUCAUGCCAGCACCCACGAGAACUAGAGCUACAAUAGUCCCUCACGUUUGUAUAUGACCGGUAGAAGACAGAAAAACCAAUUAGUCUUAACGUUUGUUGCAAUGUCUGGAAUAAAUGGACUUCUUCCUUCUCCGGUCUCUCAAUCCCCGGUGAUGAGCAUCUUUGGUCUUCAACAGCCCUGUCCCUCGAUUGACUAAUAGAAGCCCAUCAUGAUUUCUUGGUGAAUAUUAUUAUAUUUAGCCUUCUUGUUAUGACCGAUGGACCUUAUAAAUUUAUAGAGGAAAAUCAACAGCUUCUGGUUAUAUGCCGAACACAGUAGUGUUGUGUCUUUCUUUUAAUAGAGUUGAAUGACCCCACCACUAGUACUAUGUCUAAGUCCAAAUACAAGAAAGUAAAACCAAUACCCCUAUCUAUUAUUUGGAUAGAGAGGAACUUUUUAUCACAUGGGAGGUUUUGUGCC